Molecule: ribosomal RNA, 494 nt
Filed under: uncultured bacterium
Lineage: Bacteria
Description: bacterial SSU rRNA
Rfam family: Bacterial small subunit ribosomal RNA
Source: RNAcentral
AAAGGAAUAGACGGGGACCCGCACAAGCGGUGGAUGAUGUGGUUUAAUUCGAUGCAACGCGAAAAACCUUACCUACCCUUGACAUGUCAGGAAUUGCACUGAGAGGUGUGAGUGCUCGCAAGAGAACCUGAACACAGGUGCUGCAUGGCUGUCGUCAGCUCGUGUCGUGAGAUGUUGGGUUAAGUCCCGCAACGAGCGCAACCCUUGUCAUUAGUUGCUACAUUUAGUUGGGCACUCUAAUGAGACUGCCGGUGACAAACCGGAGGAAGGUGGGGAUGACGUCAAGUCCUCAUGGCCCUUAUGGGUAGGGCUACACACGUCAUACAAUGGCCGGUACAGAGGGACGCCAACCCGCGAGGGGGAGCCAAUCCUGUAAAGCCGGUCGUAGUCCGGAUUGCAGUCUGCAACUCGACUGCAUGAAGUCGGAAUCGCUAGUAAUCGUGGAUCAGCAUGUCACGGUGAAUACGUUCCCGGGUCUUGCACACACCGCCCGU